GCUCAGCUGGCUGCUGCUGCCGCUGGAGCUCAUUUGAAUGCGCGGACCAGGCGGCGUGUUUGCCCCCCUUUUCCCUCUUGGAUGGACGGAAGAGUCCCAGUAGCGCGGGAAGAAGGACCGGGAACAAUCCUCACAGUCACUCCACGACCAAGCGGAUAACAGCUGCUACUUCUCACCGAACCUCCUUCCACCUCCAUCUUCCCCGACACUUCGGCGGGGUGUCCUCCGACGGCCAUGUGUCGCUCGCCCCGUGACAUGAGACGCUGCUUGGCGGCGUGUUGAACACCCGGGGAGGUGGGGGAGGACAGGUGGUGCGGGAGUAGGGACCGAGGACGUAAAAGGCGGAGGAGGAGCGUCCGGACUCGGACACAAAAGCCCCAGUUGUCUCGGGGGGGAUGCGUGGACAGGUGCGCACUUGGAGUUGGGAUUCGAACUUCCUUGACUAUAACACGGAUUUCCCCCGCACGGCAUGACGGAAACUCUCCCCAGCUUCCUUUCGGCUCAACAUUCAUAAAGAUGACAUCAGGAGAGGCUGCUACUUCACCGCUUUGAGUCUCCGUGCAAUUUACAGCGGGGAUGGAAACGCUCCAGCGGCAGACAGUUUAACACAGGUUGCUGCUGCACUGUGUCGAUGCCCAUCACUCAUCGUCAGGCAGUUAGACCACCUGUCGCUUUCCACUCAAAGUGCCCCCUUAACUCUACACUCGGGUGAGUACCGAAUCCGAU
Long non-coding RNA from Nerophis ophidion (straightnose pipefish), 726 nucleotides. RefSeq lists it as uncharacterized. The record is from RefSeq and is a predicted model, not a curated record. NCBI's taxonomy places the organism in Eukaryota, Metazoa, Chordata, Actinopteri, Syngnathiformes, Syngnathidae. The transcript has 3 exons.